RNAcentral lists this ribosomal RNA (441 nucleotides) under uncultured bacterium. Its description in RNAcentral is "partial 16S ribosomal RNA". It matches the Rfam family "Bacterial small subunit ribosomal RNA", at positions 338 to 795 of the family's 1533-position model. The record is from RNAcentral.
CCUACGGGUGGCAGCAGUGGGGAAUAUUGCACAAUGGGGGAAACCCUGAUGCAGCGACGCCGCGUGAGUGAAGAAGUAUUUCGGUAUGUAAAGCUCUAUCAGCAGGGAAGAAGAAAGACGGUACCUGACUAAGAAGCCCCGGCUAACUACGUGCCAGCAGCCGCGGUAAUACGUAGGGGGCACGCGUUAUCCGGAUUUACUGGGUGUAAAGGGAGCGUAGACGGCUGUGCAAGUCUGAAGUGAAAGCCCAGGGCUCAACCCUGGGACUGCUUUGGAAACUGUGGAGCUGGAGUGCUGGAGAGGUAAGUGGAAUGCCUAGUGUAGCGGUGAAAUGCGUAGAUAUUAGGAGGAACACCAGUGGCGAAGGCGGCUUACUGGACAGUAACUGACGUUGAGGCUCGAAAGCGUGGGGAGCAAACAGGAUUAGAGACCCUUGUAGUC